Pseudonaja textilis is the source of this 3577-nucleotide non-coding RNA. The record is from RefSeq and is a predicted model, not a curated record. NCBI's taxonomy places the organism in Eukaryota, Metazoa, Chordata, Lepidosauria, Squamata, Elapidae.
AAAUUGUAUACAUACAUAUACACACACAUUAUAAAUAUUCUGUUUGUGCUGUACAAAAAUGUGUUUUCGGUUUUUUUCAUGCUAAUGAAUAUUUUAAGCAAAAAUGGACUAGUAAAUUCUUUAGAAAUAUUUUUCUGUAAAGAAGAAAAAUGUAAAAAUUGGUUUUUCAUGUUUUUGUUUUAAUUGUAUUGACUGGGGGUAGAAACCUGUAACGGAUGUGAAAUGCUUUUUCUUCAAAGAGUUAUCGAAUUACCAAUCUUACCAAUAAUAGUAGAAAUAAGCUCCUUUAGAGUAAAAAAAACUUGUGUUGGAAUCUUUGUCGAUUCUUUUUUAAAAAAUUGUGUAUCAAAAAUGUAAAUUGGGCUUACAGUUACUUCUAAUACAGCAUGGAAUUGACUCUGGGGGAGUGGUAUUAUAUAUAAAAUGCCAGUGGCAUGUUGUCUAGGUUUUCUCACUCACCUUAUGAUACUAAUAAUAAUGCAGCAUUUUGAAAAUAAUAGAUAAUAAUGAGUACAUUACAAACAUUUAAUUGAUAAGAAAACUAUUUUAAAAAUAGUUCCAGGACACACAGAUUAAUGUUAAUAGUUUUUAAAUUAAGUUGUGGUAUUGAGGAAACUCUUCAAGUCUUCAGUAUUAAUUUGCAUGGGAAAGGCUCAAUAUUUCUGAUACAAAUCAUAGAGAAUGUUAUUAACUAUAUUAUUACAAAUCAUAAAGAAUAUUAACUAUAUUAUUUACAACAGCAUAAUCUAAAUUACUGUCUUCAUGUAUUGUGAUAUUUGGGAGUGGGGCCGACAUAACAGAUCCAGAGCCUACAUAUAUUAAAAUGAAAAGUAUCAAUAAAGGAGAAAAUUUGUAGCUCAGGAUUAAAAUGAGGAGAUGUCGAUGCACUCUGAGCUUGGCUGUUUUUAAAUCAAACUAGAAUUAAUGAUAUUACCUAGUUUAGGUAAUGAAACAUUUGCAAGAAAACGACCAAGCCCAGAGAGCACCAAGGACACCUCAAAAUGAAUAAUCCUAGGUACAACAGAAAUUUAUUUUAAAAUCAAUGCGUAUAAUAACUUAGAAAUACAAAUAAAUAAUGUAUUAUGGCAAAUCCCAUGAACUUUCAAUGGUUAGUCUAUACAAAAAAGUAAUUCAUUAUAAAGUUUCCCAAUUGAAUGAUUAUGAUAUGCCAUCAAUUAAUCAGUUCUUAGCAACUACAAACGUAUGCAAACAUGUUUGAAGUAGGACAAUUGAAACCUGGUGGAUUACAUUUUAAGUGAAAUUCAUUUAGGGUUUUUUUUAAAAAUGCUAAUAUUCCUUAAAAUGCUAAUUCUGGAAGGCAUUUUAAUCCAUUAGGCUACAGCUACAAAUAUCAAGACUGCCAUUAAGUUGGCCCUGGCACUGCAGAUCUAUUAGAUUCUUGAAUUUUUUAAAAAAAAUUUAACUGCCUGCUGAAGAUGAAUUUGAGCACCUACUAAUUUUGAUGGCAAGAGGCAAUUCAAUUCUUUCCUGGCAUACAUUUUGGGUAUCUGUGAAAAAAGUAGUUAAUGGCCAUAAUGAUCUUUGUUUUGACAUUGCACAGAAACUUUGCAGAAGGUUUGGUUCUUCCUUCCCAUAGAGACUGUGACUGUGUUAUUGAUUUGGAACCAGGGAUUAAACUUCCAACUAAGAGGCAAUAUACAAUAUCAGGAAAGGAACUGGUGAUCUUAAAGCAAUAUCUGAGUUCCAAUUUGGAAAAAGGAUUUAUUAGACUUCCAAAGUCACCAGCUACAACACUACCUUUUUUGUUCCUAAGAAACAAGAGGUGGAUUUUCUGAACCUAAAAAGUGAGGUCCCCUUGUGUACAGUCCACCGUUACAAAGACAAUAACAAGGUCACAAUGAGGGAUCAUUACCUACUAGCUACCAUAUAAAAUAUGGUGGGAAGAUUGCAAAAUGUGAGUAUAUUAAGUUGGACCUCAGAAAAUAUGCAAAUAUGCAAAUUCCUUGACCUUUCAUUUGCAGUUGCCCCCAUCCAUUGAAGAUCCAUCCAGUUUUCCAUUAUUGCAGGUCAGAGAGGCUCCACCAAGACUUCUACAAUUGCAACAGCCAUUGCCCCCUCAAAUGAUUGUUCAAGGUGAAGAGGAAUUCAAAGUCGAAGAAAUAUUGGACUGGAGGAAAUGGGAAUGAAACAAAACAUGAGGAAAAUGUUGGGAAAGUAUCACAAUGAAUGCUACCAACUAAUGUGUGGGGCUCUAUAAAAGAAAUCACUUGAAACUUUAUUUAUUUACACUGCCUUUUUUAUUUCAAUCUAAUACACUUCCUAUUUUCUCAAAAAUGUUCAUUAUUCCUCCUCCUCCCUCCCCUUCUCCCUCCUCCUGCCCCAUAUUAAUUAUGAUAGAAUAAUGGGAAGCAAAUAUUGAAUUUAUUUGAAUUCUGGACUAACAAUAUCUUUGAGGGUGCAUAUUUGAAUAGUAGUGGAAAUGGAAAGUACCAGUCCUGUCACAAGCAAUGUGGCUUUCACUUUUUGUGACCAAUCUUUAAUUUCUUAAUAUAUUUAUAUUGUCUUCAUUUCCCACUAGAUGGUGCAAUAAUCACAUGGACUACAAAACUACACAAUAACUUUAUUUGGAAGAUUCUUUUUGUGGAUAUUUCGUAUUAAAAUAGAGGAAAUUGCCAUGGAAUUAUUGAGGCAUUAGUAAAGAUGUGUUGCUCAGUAUCUACAUUUCCAUCUUAGAUUUUAAAUUGCUAGUUUUUUGUCUCAUUUUCUGUGCUUUAAACAAGUCAGUAGAAAUAGAUUAAAUAUGUUUUUGCUUGUUAAAUGAGAAAAUUAUUAAAUAUUGGGAAAUGGGGCUUUGUUUCAUUUUCUUAUGUUUUGUUAGUAAUGUGAAUGUGUAUCUGAAAACAAUUCUUCUUUCAUUCAUCGUGCAAAGAUCUAUGAGUUAGUCCUAUCCAAUAUGGGUUGAAUCAUCAAUGAAAUAUUUUUGUGUAGCUGUUUAGUUUCUUCAAAUUCCUGAAAUCAUAGAUGCUUUCUAUAAUUAAUACUAUAACAUUUAUAUCAAUUGAUUGCUGUAUAUUGAUCAUAACUAGUAUCUGAAAUCAAUGUAAUAUUUUUUUAAAAAUUGUAUGAAAAAUUAGUGGAAAAAUAUACAGGAGGCUAUAACAUGGCAUGAUUGAAAGCAAAAUCUGCAAAUAACCAUUGUAGAAAAAUGUGGUUGUAUAGAGAUAAAACACAGAAGUGAUAUGAAGGCUUCAAGUAGCCUGGAUAGAGAUUUUAAAAACCACUGCGAUCUCCAGCAGAAUGACAGAUAACUAUUUUGUUGCUUUGUUUUAGCUUAACACAAAGACUAAAUGAUAAAAUACUUGUAAUAUAACUUGCAAUGAAUUCCAAAGAGACUGAUGCCAGCAAAGGUUGUUGAGGUCACAGAUACCCAGAUGUUUGAAGAUCUUUGCUUCUAUAUGACUAAUUGUAUGUGAUAAUCAAUGAGGGAUAUUAUUAACUUUUUUAAUGAAAUUGGAUUGUACCAAAUAUAAGUUUUGAUUUCAUGCUUAUGUUGUUCAAUGAUAUUUUAUCAUUCCUGCCUAUUUGAGGACAAUCUUAAAUAAAACUGUCUCCCUCC